Molecule: ribosomal RNA, 400 nt
Filed under: uncultured bacterium
Lineage: Bacteria
Description: bacterial SSU rRNA
Rfam family: Bacterial small subunit ribosomal RNA
Source: RNAcentral
CAGCAGCCGCGGUAAUACGAAGGGUGCAAGCGUUACUCGGAAUUACUGGGCGUAAAGCGUGCGUAGGCGGUCUGUUAAGUCCGUUGUGAAAGCCCUGGGCUCAACCUGGGAAUUGCAGUGGAUACUGGCGGGUUAGAGUGCGGUAGAGGAUGGUGGAAUUCCCGGUGUAGCGGUGAAAUGCGUAGAGAUCGGGAGGAACACCCGUGGCGAAGGCGGCCAUCUGGACCAGCACUGACGCUGAGGCACGAAAGCGUGGGGAGCAAACAGGAUUAGAUACCCUGGUAGUCCACGCCGUAAACGAUGUCGACUAGCCGUUGGGAUCCUUGAGAUCUUAGUGGCGCAGCUAACGCAUUAAGUCGACCGCCUGGGGAGUACGGCCGCAAGGUUAAAACUCAAAGGA